RNAcentral lists this ribosomal RNA (587 nucleotides) under uncultured marine eukaryote. RNAcentral describes it as "SSU rRNA". It matches the Rfam family "Eukaryotic small subunit ribosomal RNA", at positions 1 to 598 of the family's 1831-position model. The record is from RNAcentral.
AACCUGGUUGAUCCUGCCAGUAGUCAUAUGCUUGUCUCAAAGAUUAAGCCAUGCAUGUCUAAGUAUAAGCCUUUACACGGUGAAACUGCGAAUGGCUCAUUAAAACAGUUAUCGUCUCCUUGACAGUUCAUACUACAUGGAUACCUAUGGUAAUUCUAGAGCUAAUACAUGCCUAAAGACCCGACUUCGGAAGGGUUGUGCUUAUUAGAUACUACACCAACUGUCUUCGGACAGUUUUGCUGACUCAUAGUACCCAGCGAAUCGCAUGCUUCGGCGGCGAUGUGUCAUCCGAGUUUCUGACCUAUCAGCUUUCGACGGUAGGGUAUUGGCCUACCGUUGCUUUGACGGGUAACGGAGAAUUAGGGUUCGAUUCCGGAGAGGGAGCCUGCGAAACGGCUACCACAUCUAAGGAAGGCAGCAGGCGCGCAAAUUACCCAAUCCUGACUCAGGGAGGUAGUGACAAGAAAUAACAAUACUGGACCUUUCAGGUUUAGUAAUUGGAAUGAGAACAAUUUAAAACCCUUAUCGAGUAUCAAUUGGAGGGCAAGUCUGGUGCCAGCAGCCGCGGUAAUUCCAGCUCCAAUAGC